This 1346-nucleotide ribosomal RNA is filed under the name uncultured bacterium. RNAcentral describes it as "partial 16S ribosomal RNA". It matches the Rfam family "Bacterial small subunit ribosomal RNA", at positions 28 to 1381 of the family's 1533-position model. The record is from RNAcentral.
GACGAACGCUUGCGGCGUGCUUAACACAUGCAAGUCGAACGGAAAGGCCCUGCUUUUGUGGGGUGCUCGAGUGGCGAACGGGUGAGUAACACGUGAGUAACCUGCCCUUGACUUUGGGAUAACUUCAGGAAACUGGGGCUAAUACCGGAUAGGAGCUCCUGCUGCAUGGUGGGGGUUGGAAAGUUUCGGCGGUUGGGGAUGGACUCGCGGCUUAUCAGCUUGUUGGUGGGGUAGUGGCUUACCAAGGCUUUGACGGGUAGCCGGCCUGAGAGGGUGACCGGCCACAUUGGGACUGAGAUACGGCCCAGACUCCUACGGGAGGCAGCAGUGGGGAAUAUUGCACAAUGGGCGGAAGCCUGAUGCAGCAACGCCGCGUGCGGGAUGACGGCCUUCGGGUUGUAAACCGCUUUCGCCUGUGACGAAGCGUGAGUGACGGUAAUGGGUAAAGAAGCACCGGCUAACUACGUGCCAGCAGCCGCGGUGAUACGUAGGGUGCGAGCGUUGUCCGGAUUUAUUGGGCGUAAAGGGCUCGUAGGUGGUUGAUCGCGUCGGAAGUGUAAUCUUGGGGCUUAACCCUGAGCGUGCUUUCGAUACGGGUUGACUUGAGGAAGGUAGGGGAGAAUGGAAUUCCUGGUGGAGCGGUGGAAUGCGCAGAUAUCAGGAGGAACACCAGUGGCGAAGGCGGUUCUCUGGGCCUUUCCUGACGCUGAGGAGCGAAAGCGUGGGGAGCGAACAGGCUUAGAUACCCUGGUAGUCCACGCUGUAAACGGUGGGUACUAGGUGUGGGGUCCAUUCCACGGGUUCCGUGCCGUAGCUAACGCUUUAAGUACCCCGCCUGGGGAGUACGGCCGCGAGGCUAAAACUCAAAGGAAUUGACGGGGCCCCGCACAAGCGGCGGAGCAUGCGGAUUAAUUCGAUGCAACGCGUAGAACCUUACCUGGGUUUGACAUGGAUCGGGAGUGCUCAGAGAUGGGUGUGCCUCUUUUGGGGUCGGUUCACAGGUGGUGCAUGGCUGUCGUCAGCUCGUGUCGUGAGAUGUUGGGUUAAGUCCCGCAACGAGCGCAACCCUUGUUCACUGUUGCCAGCACGUUAUGGUGGGGACUCAGUGGAGACCGCCGGGGUCAACUCGGAGGAAGGUGGGGAUGACGUCAAGUCAUCAUGCCCCUUAUGUCCAGGGCUUCACGCAUGCUACAAUGGCUGGUACAGAGAGUGGCGAGCCUGUGAGGGUGAGCGAAUCUCGGAAAGCCGGUCUCAGUUCGGAUUGGGGUCUGCAACUCGACCUCAUGAAGUCGGAGUCGCUAGUAAUCGCAGAUCAGCAACGCUGCGGUGAAUACGUUCCCGGGGCU